Molecule: long non-coding RNA, 1739 nt
Filed under: Phasianus colchicus (ring-necked pheasant)
Lineage: Eukaryota; Metazoa; Chordata; Aves; Galliformes; Phasianidae
Description: lncRNA (ENSPCLG00000019690.1)
Source: RNAcentral
CAAACUUGAAGCCAAACUGCUGGAAAGCUCCAUUAACUUUUCCUGGCCUCCAAAUGCUCUCAACUCUCUUCCAGCUUCACCUCUGCUGGACAUUAGAUCCACUCCACAUAGCUACUACCCCCCAACAGCCAUCCCAUGACCGCUGCUGUCACCAAACUGAGGCUAAGGGCUAAAGAAACAUAAAUGGGGACAGCAGGAGAUUUAAAGCAUGAAAACUUUCUCUGAAGUGAGAUUCACCUUCAGCAACUCUGUGAAUAGGCAAGCAAAAGCAGAAGGAGAAUGGAGGAGAGAAGCCAAAACAAAACGUCAAGCAAGAGGAAAAGGAUUUGGAGUGAGAGGUGUGCGACAAGGUCUGCUGGAAAUGGAAUCACUUUGAGGCAAUCAUCACAGACACAGGCACAAGUGAAACAAUAGACCGUUACGGUUUCCUUCUGACGCACUUGCGUGGAUGUGAUCCAGUUGGCUAUUCACACUAUUUUAAAGACAGCAUAUAUUUACCCACUCAGCUCUGCUCCAAGGAACAUUAAACACAAUGCUGCACAUGAUUUUGUUCAGGAGGGCUGCAGAUGGCUGUGAUGAGGGAAAGUCGGUGGCUAACGCUGACAUAUGCACCAUGACAAUGCACUGUCCAGGAAAACAAAGUAAGCCAGCCAGCUUUACAACCAUUGGACUAGGAGACGGCUCCAAAGUCAUUCCAGUACUGGCAGUACAGCUAAGCCAGAGUUCUCCUAUAAGCCAGAUGACACAGUUGGAAAAAUAUAUUACAGAGCUUGUUAUCCAUUCUCUGGACCUGCCAAAUUUGCCCAUGUGGGACCACAGGUGCUGGCUCAACACAAGGAGGGAAAGAAUGAAAAAAGACAGCAAGAUGAAGAAUAUUAGGAAAGGUGGCAGUAAGUAUCAUCAAACCAGUGCUGAAGUUACUGCAAAUGCCAAUUUCUGGUGAAAGGACUACAAUCUUUAUGAAUCCCAAUUCAGAUAAAAGACUACUUAUUAAUAUGUGUAUGGAUGGAGAUUUACAAACCCUUCAAAUCCAGCCUGGGUUGCUCCAUUUUUUAACAGAUAUGAAUAUGACACUUGUCAAAACGUGCGCAGGAACAAAGCACUAGGAAAGUACAUCCUUCAGCUUUAGUGGCAAAGAACCCCCUUUUGGCAGUUCACCAUGAAGAAGCAACUCCCUAAAGUUUCUUACUUGUGGUGUGGACAGGCUAACACACUCUACUCCAGAUUCCAAGCCGGUCAGAUGCAAUCCACUUCCCUUCUGGAAGUUGUAUAGAUAAGUACCACACUGAAAAGCAGGAUAUGUUAACCAGAGCUCAUUGUUGUGUUAACAUGGCUGUGUGGCUUCUGGAGCUGAGAAGAAAGAAGCUGAGGUCUCUGUGAACCACACAAAUGUAACCAAGGAGGAAUUCAUCUAGUGACUGCACCGACCUGAUCUUUCUUCCUAGCAAGAGAUCUAAAGCAGAGUUGUCCUUUACUGAGUACAACAUUUCAGUUCCUCAGGCUGGCCUGAGGAUGUUGGCUGCCAAUGAGACAAAUCCCUAGCAACACACAGAUCAGCACUAUAUUUGUCACUGGGAAUCAAGCAUGGGAAUUUUAGAAUCAGAAGUACAAAAGCUCAGUGCUUGAACAGGAACAGUUUUCGUACUUCGCCAGCUUGAGCCAUCCAAAAGUUACAGACAGGUUCCCAUAGUCAUGAGCUUGUCUUUAAAUAAAAAUCACACCAUGAGAUUUUAAUAACA